RNAcentral lists this ribosomal RNA (251 nucleotides) under uncultured prokaryote. RNAcentral describes it as "partial 16S ribosomal RNA". It matches the Rfam family "Bacterial small subunit ribosomal RNA", at positions 524 to 774 of the family's 1533-position model. The record is from RNAcentral.
UACGUAGGGCGCAAGCGUUGUCCGGAAUUAUUGGGCGUAAAGAGCUCGUAGGCGGUUUGUCGCGUCUGCUGUGAAAACGCAAGGCUUAACCUUGCGCCUGCAGUGGGUACGGGCAGACUAGAGUGCAGUAGGGGAGACUGGAAUUCCUGGUGUAGCGGUGAAAUGCGCAGAUAUCAGGAGGAACACCAAUGGCGAAGGCAGGUCUCUGGGCAGUUACUGACGCUGAGGAGCGAAAGCAUGGGUAGCGAACA